This 522-nucleotide ribosomal RNA is filed under the name uncultured bacterium. RNAcentral describes it as "bacterial SSU rRNA". It matches the Rfam family "Bacterial small subunit ribosomal RNA", at positions 1 to 523 of the family's 1533-position model. The record is from RNAcentral.
CGAGAGUUUGAUCCUGGCUCAGAUUGAACGCUGGCGGCAUGCCUUACACAUGCAAGUCGAACGGCAGCACGGGAGCAAUCCUGGUGGCGAGUGGCGAACGGGUGAGUAAUGCAUCGGAACGUGCCAUUGAGUGGGGGAUAACGUAGCGAAAGUUACGCUAAUACCGCAUAUUCUGUGCGCAGGAAAGCAGGGGAUCGCAAGACCUUGCGCUCUUUGAGCGGCCGAUGUCAGAUUAGCUAGUUGGUGGGGUAAAGGCUCACCAAGGCGACGAUCUGUAGCGGGUCUGAGAGGAUGAUCCGCCACACUGGGACUGAGACACGGCCCAGACUCCUACGGGAGGCAGCAGUGGGGAAUUUUGGACAAUGGGGGCAACCCUGAUCCAGCCAUGCCGCGUGAGUGAAGAAGGCCUUCGGGUUGUAAAGCUCUUUCGGCCGGGAAGAAAUCGCACAGGUUAAUACCCUGUGUGGAUGACGGUACCGGACUAAGAAGCACCGGCUAACUACGUGCCAGCAGCCGCGGUAA